Molecule: ribosomal RNA, 253 nt
Filed under: uncultured bacterium
Lineage: Bacteria
Description: partial 16S ribosomal RNA
Rfam family: Bacterial small subunit ribosomal RNA
Source: RNAcentral
UACGGGGGGGGCAAGCGUUGUUCGGAAUUACUGGGCGUAAAGGGCUCGUAGGCGGCCAACUAAGUCAGACGUGAAAUCCCCAGGCUCAACCUGGGAACUGCGUCUGAUACUGGAUGGCUUGAAUUCGGGAGAGGGAUGCAGAAUUCCAGGUGUAGCGGUGAAAUGCGUAGAUAUCUGGAGGAAUACCGGUGGCGAAGGCGGCAUCCUGGACCGACAUUGACGCUGAGGAGCGAAAGCCAGGGGAGCGAACAGG